This 298-nucleotide long non-coding RNA is filed under the name Parus major (Great Tit). RNAcentral describes it as "lncRNA (ENSPMJG00000011323.1)". The record is from RNAcentral. Lineage: Eukaryota; Metazoa; Chordata; Aves; Passeriformes; Paridae.
GAGCCUGUGCAGAACAUUCAGGAUGAAGGGAUGAGCCAGCAGGUGGCUGUAGAUGGCAGCGGCUGCCUGGAAUGGGGCAGGUCCCAGGAUGCCAGAGAAAACCCGGGGUAGGCUCACAAGAACGGUCUCCAGCAUGUCACUGUGGAGGGAUGGGAUGCAGAUGCUGCAGAUUUCUGCUGGACAUGGACACAGCAGCAAUAAAAACAACAUCCCUGAUUUGGCAAAAGAAACCACAAAGGCCAGUAAGAAGAGAAAGGACAUUUGUGCUUCUGAUAUCCUGAGACUGUGGUGGCAAUAA